This 1006-nucleotide long non-coding RNA is filed under the name Mus musculus (house mouse). RNAcentral's name for it is "long non-coding RNA chr14:115847276-115848282". Lineage: Eukaryota; Metazoa; Chordata; Mammalia; Rodentia; Muridae. The record is from RNAcentral.
UCAAAAUUAAUAUUGACUGUAUGAAAUAAUAACUGUGGUUUAUAGGAAACAAUAAGCAACAAUAUGGAAAUUAAACAAUUAAAAUAGGACCUAGAGGGGAUUAAGUAGAGUUAAAGGGUUAUAAGGUUUUUGCAAUGUUUGAAAAGUGGUGACAUUAUUCAUACAUAUUUUAAUAUCGCAGAUGUAGUCAAAUACCAAAGUUCCAGGGCAGAGUCGUUCAGAAUGACAAGCCAGACCAGCCUUUUGAAGCUAGUGCAAGGCGUUAGGUCCAACUAUAAGCAGGGCAUUCUAUGCAGCAGCCCGCUUAGUUUAGUAAGCAACUACAAGUCUGAGAGUUCACAUGCCAAUUUUAUCUUUUUUCUGUAGGAGGACGUAAUGGUAUUCCCUAGAAGUUAUUAAUCAGUUAUUAAUCAGUUAUGCUUGAUUAUGAAGAAGUACAUUUUGCUGCAGGGAAAUAUACAUGAUGGCAGGGCAGGGUGUUGCAGACGUCUAUAUUGGGAGCUUCCGGGGUCAUCCAGACAUGAUGCUUCAGCAUCAGAAGUGGCAGUAUGUAACAUAGUGUAUGGUCUAUCUAAGAAACUCACUCAAGUGCUAAAGACCAGAGGUUUAUUGGGGUUUCAAUUAAUUAUGCAAAUAGUUGAGCCUGCCUAUCCCCAAAGCCCCUAUCUGGAAGUCAAGCUGAUAUCACAUGGCCUGGAUAAUUUAUAGCUCACAUCAAUAAUGGAAACUUUCAAGUAUGACCCAAAGGAGCCAUCAUAAACAAAGACAUUUUGUGAUUCGAAAAUAUUCCAGCACUUAAGAGGAAGUUUUCUGAAACCAAAACAAGAUAUUCUUGUUGAGAAAUGAAUUAUUCACAGCAGAGGGAGGGUACAGCUGGGGCUUUGUUAAUUGUCAUAGAUGCCUCAUAUUUAUCCUUCACAAAGCACUGAUAUGGUAGAGCUAUGACUUCAAGAUAUAAUCACAAUGUCUUAGUUAUGUUUCUAGUUCUGUGAUAAAGACCAUGACC